RNAcentral lists this ribosomal RNA (383 nucleotides) under uncultured eukaryote. RNAcentral's name for it is "partial 18S ribosomal RNA". It matches the Rfam family "Eukaryotic small subunit ribosomal RNA", at positions 592 to 976 of the family's 1831-position model. The record is from RNAcentral.
CAAUAGCGUAUAUUAAAGUUGUUGCAGUUAAAAAGCUCGUAGUUGGAUUUCUGGUGGGAGCGAUCGGUCUGGCGCUUAGCGCGAGUACUUGCAUCGUCCCCGGCCAUCCUUGGGGAGAGUCUGUCUGGCAUUAGGUUGUCGGGCAGAGGAUCCUCAUCGUUUACUGUGAAAAAAUUAGAGUGUUCAAAGCAGGCUUAUGCCGUUGAAUAUAUUAGCAUGGAAUAAUAAGAUAGGACUUUGGUACUAUUUUGUUGGUUUGCGCACCAAAGUAAUGAUUAAUAGGGACAGUUGGGGGUAUUCGUAUUCCGUUGUCAGAGGUGAAAUUCUUGGAUUUACGGAAGACGAACUACUGCGAAAGCAUUUACCAAGGAUGUUUUCAUUAA